This 468-nucleotide ribosomal RNA is filed under the name uncultured bacterium. Its description in RNAcentral is "partial 16S ribosomal RNA". It matches the Rfam family "Bacterial small subunit ribosomal RNA", at positions 28 to 507 of the family's 1533-position model. The record is from RNAcentral.
GACGAACGCUGGCGGCGUGCUUAACACAUGCAAGUCGAACGGAAAGGCCCUGCUUUUGUGGGGUGCUCGAGUGGCGAACGGGUGAGUAACACGUGAGUAACCUGCCCUUGACUUUGGGAUAACUUCAGGAAACUGGGGCUAAUACCGGAUAGGAGCUCCUGCUGCAUGGUGGGGGUUGGAAAGUUUCGGCGGUGGGGGAUGGACUCGCGGCUUAUCAGCUUGUUGGUGGGGUAGUGGCUUACCAAGGCGUUGACGGGUAGCCGGCCUGAGAGGGUGACCGGCCACAUUGGGACUGAGCUACGGCCCGGACUCCUACGGGAGGCAGCAGUGGGGAAUAUUGCACAAUGGGCGGAAGCCUGAUGCAGCAACGCCGCGUGCGGGAUGACGGCCUUCGGGUUGUAAACCGCUUUCGCCUGUGACGAAGCGUGAGUGACGGUAAUGGGUAAAGAAGCACCGGCUAACUACGUG